This 120-nucleotide ribosomal RNA is filed under the name Petromyzon marinus (sea lamprey). Lineage: Eukaryota; Metazoa; Chordata; Hyperoartia; Petromyzontiformes; Petromyzontidae. The record is from RNAcentral.
GCCUACGACCAUAUCACCCUGAAUGCCCCCGAUCUCGUCUGAUCUCGGAAGCUAAGCAUGGUAAGAGCCUGGUUAGGACUUGGAUGGGAGACUGCCUGGGAAUACCAGGUGUUGUAGGCU